Molecule: ribosomal RNA, 474 nt
Filed under: uncultured bacterium
Lineage: Bacteria
Description: SSU rRNA
Rfam family: Bacterial small subunit ribosomal RNA
Source: RNAcentral
AGGACGAACGCUUGCGGCGUGCCUAAGAAAUGCAAGUCGAACGGGAUUAGUAGCAAUACUAUUCUAGUGGCGAACGGUCGCGUAACACGUAGGCAACCUGCCCAAAAGUGGGGGACAACAACCUGAAAGGGUUGCUAAUACCGCAUGUGGCCCUUUGGUGGCAUCACCGAUGGUCUAAAGGUUUAUGCGCUUUUGGAUGGGCUUGCGGCCUAUCAGGUAGUUGGUGGGGUAAUGGCCUACCAAGCCGACGACGGGUAGCUGGUCUGAGAGGACGAUCAGCCGGAUUGGGACUGAGAUACGGCCCAGACUCCUACGGGGGGCAGCAAUUAGGAAUCUUGCGCAAUGGGGGCAACCCUGACGCAGCGACGCCGCGUGCGGGAUGAAGGCAUUCGUGUCGUAAACCGCUUUUUACGGGGAAGAGAAUUUGACGGUACCCGUCGAAUAAGCCCCGGCUAACUACGUGCCAGCAGCCGC